UACGAGGGGGGCGAGCGUUGUUCGGCAUUAUUGGGCGUAAAGGGUGCGUAGGCGGUUUGGUAAGUCUGAUGUGAAAUCUAUGGGCUCAACUCAUAGUCUGCAUCGGAAACUGCCGGGCUUGAGUGUGGGAGAGGUGAGUGGAAUUCCUGGUGUAGCGGUGAAAUGCGUAGAUAUCAGGAGGAACACCUGUGGCGAAAGCGGCUCACUGGACCAUAACUGACGCUGAUGCACGAAAGCUAGGGGAGCAAACAGG
RNAcentral lists this ribosomal RNA (253 nucleotides) under uncultured bacterium. RNAcentral describes it as "partial 16S ribosomal RNA". It matches the Rfam family "Bacterial small subunit ribosomal RNA", at positions 524 to 776 of the family's 1533-position model. The record is from RNAcentral.